UGGGGAAUCUUGCACAGUGGGGGCAACCCUGAUGCAGCGACGCCGCGUGAGCGAUGAAGCCCUUCGGGGCGUAAAGCUCUUUCGACCGGAACGAUAAUGACGGUACCGGGAGAAGAAGCUGCGGCUAACUACGUGCCAGCAGCCGCGGUAAUACGUAGGCAGCAAGCGUUGUUCGGAGUUACUGGGCGUAAAGAGUGCGUAGGCGGUUUUCUAAGUUCGGUGUGAAAUCUCCCGGCUUAACUGGGAGGGUGCGCCGAAGACUGGGAAGCUAGAGUGUGGGAAAGGCAGGCGGAAUUCCUGGUGUAGCGGUGAAAUGCGUAGAUAUCAGGAGGAACAUCGGCGGUGUAGACGGCUUGCUAGACCAUAACUGACGCUGAGGCACGAAAGCGUGGG
RNAcentral lists this ribosomal RNA (393 nucleotides) under uncultured bacterium. Its description in RNAcentral is "bacterial SSU rRNA". It matches the Rfam family "Bacterial small subunit ribosomal RNA", at positions 355 to 765 of the family's 1533-position model. The record is from RNAcentral.